Molecule: ribosomal RNA, 87 nt
Filed under: Prinsepia utilis
Lineage: Eukaryota; Viridiplantae; Streptophyta; Magnoliopsida; Rosales; Rosaceae
Description: partial 5.8S ribosomal RNA
Rfam family: 5.8S ribosomal RNA
About the family: 5.8S ribosomal RNA (5.8S rRNA) is a component of the large subunit of the eukaryotic ribosome. It is transcribed by RNA polymerase I as part of the 45S precursor that also contains 18S and 28S rRNA. Functionally, it is thought that 5.8S rRNA may be involved in ribosome translocation.
Source: RNAcentral
UGCAGAAUCCCGUGAACCAUCGAGUCUCUGAACGCAAGUUGCGCCCGAAGACAUUAGUUCGAGGGCACGCCUGCCUGGGCGUCACAU